Molecule: long non-coding RNA, 456 nt
Filed under: Androctonus crassicauda
Lineage: Eukaryota; Metazoa; Arthropoda; Arachnida; Scorpiones; Buthidae
Source: RNAcentral
CCGAUAGUAUCGAAUAGUGGGUAGAAACGUAUGGAGUAGUAUCGAUAAUGGAUAUUUUUGAUCACGGUGGUAUUCCUAGUCACCAUCCGCCUAGCCACUUAGGUGGAAGCUGCGCUAACCACCGUACCAGUAGCGUCGAUACUGACCUAUACCCACGGUGCUGGUACGGGUACGGUAUCAGGGCCGAAAGUAGGUGAUUGGGUGCCAGUUCCGCGGUAGGCCCGAUUGAGUACCGGCGGAGGAGCGCUGGAUGGAAAGGAAAGCGUCGAAAGGACCCAGCCGAGUCCGGAAGGCCGCCUUUAAACAUCGGAAUGGGGCGGCCGGAUGGUCGAAUGGUAACGCUGUCGGCGUGACAGGUAGGAAGACCCGGAUUCGCGUCCCGGGUCUGGUAACUCCCGACGGAUUUUUUCGGGGUGUUGGGCCCUGCCCGUCCAUUCCCGUCCUUCACCAUCCGGC